GAGGAAUCAUUACCUCCUCUCUCUACUCUCUCUCCCUCUCUCCCCUCAAGCUCUUCCUUUCAUUUCUUUUUUCCACCUAUGGAGGAGGAUUAUUGGAGAUCGGUGAUGACUCUAUGAGUUUGUCAACAACGACGUGAGAUUGUCAAAGACGGCGCGAGAUUCCGACGCUUUCUUCCUCGAAUCGUACUCCAUAAGAAAGUCCAGCAAAUCCUAGAACGUGAUGGUAAAAACUAGAGCAGUGAAAGUGAUAGACAAAUCCGAGACAGUUCCUCUUCGUCGAAAUUAAAAUAAAAACAAAGAGAGCAUAAGAGUCAUGCCAAUCCGUAUGGGCUAAAUAUAUUAGGGAUAAUAUCCCUAAUUAGGAGUCUUAAUUUUAAGAGAAGAUAUAGAAGAAGUUUUCAAGUGAUGUAUAAUUACAUUAUUGAUUUAUAAAAUGUCUUAUUAUAUUUUA
Molecule: long non-coding RNA, 451 nt
Organism: Tripterygium wilfordii
Lineage: Eukaryota; Viridiplantae; Streptophyta; Magnoliopsida; Celastrales; Celastraceae
Exons: 2
Source: RefSeq, a predicted model, not a curated record